AUUGAACGCUGGCGGCAUGCCUUACACAUGCAAGUCGAACGGUAACAGGUUAAGCUGACGAGUGGCGUACGGGUGAGUAAUGUAUCGGAACGUGCCCAGUCGUGGGGGAUAACUGCUCGAAAGAGCAGCUAAUACCGCAUACGACCUGAGGGUGAAAGCGGGGGAUCGCAAGACCUCGCGCGAUUGGAGCGGCCGAUAUC
RNAcentral lists this ribosomal RNA (200 nucleotides) under uncultured bacterium. RNAcentral's name for it is "partial 16S ribosomal RNA". It matches the Rfam family "Bacterial small subunit ribosomal RNA", at positions 30 to 237 of the family's 1533-position model. The record is from RNAcentral.